GUUAUGUUAAAAGUAGCAAAUAAUAAAUUCAUAGCAAUAAACAUUUAUAUUUAGAAGAACAGUAAGCAUUAUACUGCUUAAAAGUUUAAUACUGAUAGUGCUUCCAAAUUUCUCCCUCCAUGAGUCCAGGUAUAUAACAGCCUGGGCUUAUCAGUCCAUUCAAAAGUCAGGCAAUAAAGCUUCCUGAAGGGUUUUAUCUAAGCCAAUCAGCAUCAAGUAAACAUUCAUCUGUGUAGGAAAUUCAAAUGUAUGGAGAAGAAUCAUGUAAACAUAUGGCGGUUUCUGAAGCUCAUAUUUUGUGUGGAUAAACCUUUUUCCUUAUCAUUUGAAAGAUGACCAAUAUUGUGUCUGUGACAAAGAUGAGGAUCCUGUGACCAACAAGAUUUGAUGGGAAAGUUGGAAAGCUAAAGAACAUGCUAAAAAUGAUUACGUUCCCAGAUGGUGCAGAAAGAAUGAAGCAGAAUCACCAACAGCAGCAGAACUAAAUGGGGCGAUAACGGAACAUUUAGGUUCCUUCUGUCGAAAACAUAUUAAACACAGAAUAUGAACUCUUAAAACAAUAAGUGAUAGUAAAAAUGUGUAAAAAAUAACAUUUUCAGCUAUGCCUUUUUUAAGAAAAUAUAUUAAACAAUGUUUUACU
Mya arenaria is the source of this 640-nucleotide long non-coding RNA. RefSeq lists it as uncharacterized. The record is from RefSeq and is a predicted model, not a curated record. The transcript has 3 exons. Lineage: Eukaryota; Metazoa; Mollusca; Bivalvia; Myida; Myidae.